RNAcentral lists this ribosomal RNA (468 nucleotides) under uncultured bacterium. RNAcentral describes it as "partial 16S ribosomal RNA". It matches the Rfam family "Bacterial small subunit ribosomal RNA", at positions 28 to 507 of the family's 1533-position model. The record is from RNAcentral.
GACGAACGCUGGCGGCGUGCUUAACACAUGCAAGUCGAACGGAAAGGCCCUGCUUUUGUGGGGUGCUCGAGUGGCGAACGGGUGUGUAACACGUGUGUAACCUGCCCUUGACUUUGGGAUAACUUCAGGAAACUGGGGCUAAUACCGGAUAGGAGCUCCUGCUGCAUGGUGUUGGUUGGUAAGUUUCGGCGGUUGGGUAUGUACUCGCGGCUUAUCAGCUUGUUGGUGAGGUAGUUGCUUACCAAGGCUUUGACGGGUAGCCGGCAUGAGAGGGUGACCGGGGACAAUGGGACUAAGAGAGGGAGCAGACGGGAACGGGAGGCAGCAGGGGGAAAUAUUGCAGAAGGGGGGGAAGCGAGAGGAAGAAAAGCCGGGAGCGGGAAGACGGGCUACGGGUUGAAAACAGAUGUGGAAUGAGACGAAGAGGGAGUGACGGUAAUGGGUAAAGAAGCACCGGCUAACUACGUG